Molecule: non-coding RNA, 86 nt
Filed under: uncultured Agathobacter sp.
Lineage: Bacteria; Bacillati; Bacillota; Clostridia; Lachnospirales; Lachnospiraceae
Description: TPP riboswitch (THI element)
Rfam family: TPP riboswitch aptamer (THI element) (bases 5-80)
About the family: Vitamin B(1) in its active form thiamin pyrophosphate (TPP) is an essential coenzyme that is synthesised by coupling of pyrimidine and thiazole moieties in bacteria.
Source: RNAcentral
AUUUGCUAGGGGUGCCCUCGGGCUGAGAGAUGUAUAUCGACCCUUAUUACUUGAUCCGGUUCGUACCGGCGUAAGGAAGCUGUCAU